CCAAAUCAACUGUAUUUUGAGGCUAUCUUGGCUAAAAUUUCAUGAAUAAUCUGAUUGUGGGUAAAGAAUUGGAAGAAAAGUGCAUUUUCUUGGUCGAUUUUUGAACCCUAGGUGCCGAAAUUUUGGGGGUUUUGUGGGUUUUUGUGUGCACUUGAAGAGUUUGUUAUUCUCAUCUUCUACAACACUAAGGUAUGCAAGAAUGGUGAAGAGAAAAGAUAAAGCGGGGUCAAGUUCGUCUAAACAACCUCAAGUGGAAGAGGAGCAACCAAAGAGGAGGAAAUUAGCCUGGAUUGGUGAUCCGGAUUCGGAGGAGGAUGCACCUCCAAGGGGUCCAAAGCCGGAUUGGACAUCCGAUUCAUUACUAGACCAACCUGCGGAAUGGAGAGAGGAUUUAUUUCAUGAACAAAUGAACAACUUGAAGCAAAGGGCUGAGGCAUUUAUUUGUGAAAAGGAGAUCCGGGAAGCUGAUUUUGGGCUGUUCGGGAUAACGGCAAAUUUAAAGAAUUGGGAUGGGGGGCAGCUUUGAAGUGUUAUGAUGGUGAGGUGAAGAAGAUGUAUGAUACUCAGAUUCAAGAGUGGAUGGCCUCACUCGAAUGUCCCCCGUUUAAGGCUCCAAAACAGAUGAAGCUCGUUGGAUGGUGUAACGGGG
This 649-nucleotide long non-coding RNA is filed under the name Helianthus annuus (common sunflower). The record is from RNAcentral. Lineage: Eukaryota; Viridiplantae; Streptophyta; Magnoliopsida; Asterales; Asteraceae.